Molecule: ribosomal RNA, 327 nt
Filed under: Triticum aestivum (bread wheat)
Lineage: Eukaryota; Viridiplantae; Streptophyta; Magnoliopsida; Poales; Poaceae
Description: partial small subunit ribosomal RNA
Source: RNAcentral
CACCUGCUCGCCGGGUGUGUCUUCUCCAGGAUCACAUGGCAUGAAAUCCUUUCGUGGUGCCGGCUCAUCACCCCACCGAUGGAUGGUGACACUGUCUUCUUCAUGUGGUGGUCCAAGGCCGUCGACGAAUCCCCGGGCUGCCUAUGGAAGGGUCUCAACUCCAUCGUGGCGCUCUCCGCUUGGUCCAUUUGGAAGCACCGCAACGCGGUCAUCUUCGAGAACCGGUGCCCCUCUACCGAAGACCUAAUACGCUCGAUCAAAGACGACGCCCGCCUCUGGGCUAAGGCGGGUGCUCGAGGGCUAGCCGCGAUUAUUCCUGUAACUUAA